This 465-nucleotide ribosomal RNA is filed under the name uncultured Streptococcus sp. RNAcentral's name for it is "bacterial SSU rRNA". It matches the Rfam family "Bacterial small subunit ribosomal RNA", at positions 338 to 795 of the family's 1533-position model. The record is from RNAcentral. Lineage: Bacteria; Bacillati; Bacillota; Bacilli; Lactobacillales; Streptococcaceae.
CCUACGGGAGGCAGCAGUAGGGAAUCUUCGGCAAUGGACGGAAGUCUGACCGAGCAACGCCGCGUGAGUGAAGAAGGUUUUCGGAUCGUAAAGCUCUGUUGUAAGAGAAGAACGAGUGUGAGAGUGGAAAGUUCACACUGUGACGGUAUCUUACCAGAAAGGGACGGCUAACUACGUGCCAGCAGCCGCGGUAAUACGUAGGUCCCGAGCGUUGUCCGGAUUUAUUGGGCGUAAAGCGAGCGCAGGCGGUUAGAUAAGUCUGAAGUUAAAGGCUGUGGCUUAACCAUAGUACGCUUUGGAAACUGUUUAACUUGAGUGCAAGGGGGGAGAGUGGAAUUCCAUGUGUAGCGGUGAAAUGCGUAGAUAUAUGGAGGAACACCGGUGGCGAAAGCGGCUCUCUGGCUUGUAACUGACGCUGAGGCUCGAAAGCGUGGGGAGCAAACAGGAUUAGAUACCCUGGUAGUC